RNAcentral lists this ribosomal RNA (253 nucleotides) under uncultured bacterium. RNAcentral's name for it is "partial 16S ribosomal RNA". It matches the Rfam family "Bacterial small subunit ribosomal RNA", at positions 524 to 776 of the family's 1533-position model. The record is from RNAcentral.
UACGGAGGGAGCUAGCGUUGUUCGGAAUCACUGGGCGUAAAGCGUACGUAGGCGGCUUUGCAAGUUAGAGGUGAAAGCCCGGGGCUCAACUCCGGAACUGCCUUUAAAACUGCGAUGCUUGAAUCUGGGAGAGGUGAGUGGAAUUCCGAGUGUAGAGGUGAAAUUCGUAGAUAUUCGGAAGAACACCAGUGGCGAAGGCGGCUCACUGGACCAGUAUUGACGCUGAGGUACGAAAGCGUGGGGAGCAAACAGG